AGCUGGUCUGAGUGCAGUGUUUACAACUCUUGAUUACAGAUUUCUUUGUUCCUUCUCCAUCCCCACUGCUUCACUUGACUAGUCUUAA
Unclassified non-coding RNA from Gorilla gorilla gorilla (western lowland gorilla), 88 nucleotides. It matches the Rfam family "Y RNA". From Rfam's summary of the family: Y RNAs are components of the Ro ribonucleoprotein particle (Ro RNP), in association with Ro60 and La proteins. The record is from Ensembl. NCBI's taxonomy places the organism in Eukaryota, Metazoa, Chordata, Mammalia, Primates, Hominidae.